AGUGAACGCUGGCGGUAGGCCUAACACAUGCAAGUCGAACGGCAGCACAGUAAGAGCUUGCUCUUACGGGUGGCGAGUGGCGGACGGGUGAGGAAUACAUCGGAAUCUACUUUUUCGUGGGGGAUAACGUAGGGAAACUUACGCUAAUACCGCAUACGACCUACGGGUGAAAGCAGGGGAUCUUCGGACCUUGCGCGAUUGAAUGAGCCGAUGUCGGAUUAGCUAGUUGGCGGGGUAAAGGCCCACCAAGGCGACGAUCCGUAGCUGGUCUGAGAGGAUGAUCAGCCACACUGGAACUGAGACACGGUCCAGACUCCUACGGGAGGCAGCAGUGGGGAAUAUUGGACAAAGGGCGCAAGCCUGAUCCAGCCAUACCGCGUGGGUGAAGAAGGCCUUCGGGUUGUAAAGCCCUUUGUUGGGAAAGAAAAGCAGCAGGUUAAUACCCCGCUGUUCUGACGGUACCCAAAGAAUAAGCACCGGCUAACUUCGUGC
This 492-nucleotide ribosomal RNA is filed under the name uncultured bacterium. Its description in RNAcentral is "partial 16S ribosomal RNA". It matches the Rfam family "Bacterial small subunit ribosomal RNA", at positions 29 to 508 of the family's 1533-position model. The record is from RNAcentral.